ACCUAGCUGGCUCAGUUGGUGGAAUGUGUGACUUUUGAUCUCCAGGUCAUAGGUUCAAGCCCCAUGUUGGGCA
RNAcentral lists this transfer RNA (73 nucleotides) under Canis lupus familiaris (dog). It matches the Rfam family "tRNA". Rfam says of the family: Transfer RNA (tRNA) molecules are approximately 80 nucleotides in length. Their secondary structure includes four short double-helical elements and three loops (D, anti-codon, and T loops). The record is from Rfam by way of RNAcentral. Lineage: Eukaryota; Metazoa; Chordata; Mammalia; Carnivora; Canidae. RNAcentral also lists the same sequence under 1 other name.